AAUAUUUUAAUUGAUUCGGAAGCGUGCGAGGCACUGCCCUAAGGCGUAUUCCCGUCCGUACGUGCGGGAUUAACCAAAAAUAACACCCCAAGGUACGACCGGAAUUUCUCUUCCUGCGAGCACGAUCGUGAAGGAGGUUGACGGAGACUCUUUCAACACCCAAUGAUAAAAAGAUCAAAACACAAUAAAAUAAAGAAUUUAAAUAAAGUUUCUACUUUCAUUUUUUCACUUAAAUUUCUCUCUCAGCACUGUUCAUUGAAGAUAACUAGUGCAAUCCAUUGUAUAUAUAAUGGAGAGAGAAUGACACGUUGGAAUUCCAACGUUCCCAACAUUAAUUCCACUUAAUUCAUGCCUUUAUGUGGAAGCGUGCGAGGCACUACCCUAAGGCAUAUUCCAGUCCUUACGUGCGGGAUUAACCGGAAAUAACACCCCAAGGUACGACCGGAAUUCCUUCUUCUGCGAGUACGAUCGUGAAGGAGGUUGACGGAGACUCUUUCAACACCCAAUGAUAAAAAGAUCAAAACACAAUAAAAUAAAAAAUUUAAAUAAAGUUUCUACUUUCAUUUUUUCACUUAAAUUUCUCUCUCAGCACUGUUCAUUGAAGAUAACCAGUGCAAUCCAUUGUAUAUAUAAUGGAGAGAGAAUGGUACGUUGGGAUUCCAACGUUCCCAACAUUAAUUCCACUUAAUUCAUGCCUUUAUGUGGAAUUAAGAAGAAAUAAAUCAAAUUUAAUUCAUCAAAUUAAUUAACAUAAUAAAUGAGAGUAAUUAUAAAAUUGAAUGAUAUUUAGAGAUUUUGGAUUUUCUCCAACAAUCCCCCACAAAAUUCAAAAUUACAAAAAAAUUAAACAAACAAAUAAAUAAAUCAUCGGGUGUUUAUACUAUGCAAUAGGCGAGGUGUCUUUAAGAGACUUAACCCCACUUAGUGUAAAUAGUUUCCAUCAGAAGGAAUCGGAGUGAACCAGAUCUUGAACUACGUUCCAUUGACCCCGACUUCAACUACUACACAUACAGUACAGAAUUCUCCGUCGCGGGUCUGUGCGUUAAUGGCCAUGCACAGUAUCUUGAUUUUUCAUAAGAGUUUUUAUGGAUAGCCCAUUCACAUAGCCGCGGCCAUAUACGGAUACUCUUAUAUAGGUGGUUUCCUCCAGGGAUAUAUGUAGAGUCACAUCUUGCGAAAAUUACCGCCUUGGAUCCCAUUAAGAGCUCUAAGCUCAACCUAAUCCACUACACAGAGCACCACUCACCAUAGGGAUGGGAUUGGAGCUAAAGCUCCUAUAAAUAAACUGUAGAAAGUGCUCUUUGGCCAACCUAGCAGCUUGUUUUUACUACGUUGAACCUUCUUUAAGGGAUCUCCUAUUACAAAGGUUGGGUUCCCACUACAGGAAGGCCCUUUAUGGGCAAAGUUUCAUCCUCCUCGAUGACUCUAGGACCUUAGUCCUAUUCAGACCUUUCGUCAAGCAAUCUGCAAGAUUCUGAUCAGAUCUGAUAAAACUCAAAUAAAUAACAUUAUGAAAAAUAACUAUCUAAUAAAUUUAUGUCAAUAUAAUUUAUUUGCCAACUUUAGAAUUUACUAAAUUAUUUUUCAAGAUGAACAUUCGCUAAAUCCAAAUAAAUAUUUUAAUUGAUUCGGAAGCGUGCGAGGCACUGCCCUAAGGCGUAUUCCCGUCCGUACGUGCGGGAUUAACCAAAAAUAACACCCCAAGGUACGACCGGAAUUUCUCUUCCUGCGAGCACGAUCGUGAAGGAGGUUGACGGAGACUCUUUCAACACCCAAUGAUAAAAAGAUCAAAACACAAUAAAAUAAAGAAUUUAAAUAAAGUUUCUACUUUCAUUUUUUC
RNAcentral lists this long non-coding RNA (1840 nucleotides) under Ananas comosus (pineapple). RNAcentral describes it as "long non-coding RNA (ACOM_LNC034820)". The record is from RNAcentral. Lineage: Eukaryota; Viridiplantae; Streptophyta; Magnoliopsida; Poales; Bromeliaceae.